GAUAGCCACUAGAAAUGGUGGGUAAUACUGUAUAAUCCCUGCGGGGGAAAGAUUUAUCGCUACAUGAUGAGCCUAUGUUAGAUUAGCUAGUUGGUGGGGUAAUGGCCUACCAAGGCAGUGAUCUAUAGCUGGUCUGAGAGGAUGAUCAGCCACACUGGAACUGAGACACGGUCCAGACUCCUACGGGAGGCAGCAGUGGGGAAUAUUGGACAAUGGGCGCAAGCCUGAUCCAGCUAUGCCGCGUGAGUGAG
Molecule: ribosomal RNA, 251 nt
Filed under: uncultured Anaplasma sp.
Lineage: Bacteria; Pseudomonadati; Pseudomonadota; Alphaproteobacteria; Rickettsiales; Anaplasmataceae
Description: partial 16S ribosomal RNA
Rfam family: Bacterial small subunit ribosomal RNA
Source: RNAcentral